This 468-nucleotide ribosomal RNA is filed under the name uncultured bacterium. Its description in RNAcentral is "partial 16S ribosomal RNA". It matches the Rfam family "Bacterial small subunit ribosomal RNA", at positions 28 to 507 of the family's 1533-position model. The record is from RNAcentral.
GACGAACGCUGGCGGCGUGCUUAACACAUGCAAGUCGAACGGAAAGGCCCUGCUUUUGUGGGGUUCUCGAGUGGCAAACGGGUGAGUAACACGUGAGUAACCUGCCCUUGCUUUUGGUAUAACUUCAGGAAACUGGGUCUAAUCCCGGAUAGGAGCUCCUGCUUCAUGGUGGGGGUUGGAAUGUUUCGGCGGUUGGGGAUGGACUCGCGGCUUACCAGCUUGUUGGUGGGGUAGUGGCUUACAAAGGCUUUGACGGGUAGCCGGCCUGAGAGGGUGACCGGCAAAAUUGGGACUGAGAUACGGCCCAGACUCCUACGGGAGGAAGCAGUGGGGAAUAUUGCACAAUGGGCGGAAGCCUGAUGCAGCAACGCCGCGUGCGGGAUGACGGCCUUCGGGUUGUAAACCGCUUCCGCCUGUGACGAAGCGUGAGUGACGGUAAUGGGUAAAGAAGCACCGGCUAACUACGUG